Molecule: long non-coding RNA, 729 nt
Filed under: Mytilus galloprovincialis (Mediterranean mussel)
Lineage: Eukaryota; Metazoa; Mollusca; Bivalvia; Mytilida; Mytilidae
Source: RNAcentral
UUCCGCCACUUUAAAAAAUGAACUUGUCCGCAACGUUUCUCCAAAACCGCUUGUCAGAUUGACUUAGGAUUUCAUUAAAUGGUAGACUAAUAUGUCUAGGUGAGCCAUCAAUCUUUCGUUUGUGCAUUGGGGUCUAUUAAGGGGUAUUUUUAGGGGGGGGGUAGAAAGAAGGGAGGGGUUUACUAUAGAACCCUAUGGGAUUUUAUUUUCUAAAAUUUUCAAAUGAAUAUAACUUGAAAACUGUAAGUGAUAGAUACAUGCAGUCUUCAGAAAUGAUUAUAGGACAAUAAAAAAAAUCACAAGAAAUAUAGGGGGAGUCCCUGGGAGUUAAUCCCCACCCCUUUCAAUUUGAGAAUAUGCUUAUAUCUUGUAACCGAUCCAGAUCCCCGACCCUAAAACAUAUAUAUUCCUGAUUGGGACAAUAAAACAAAUCAAAUGCAAUUAAAGGGAGGUCAUCGGGUGUCAUCCCAACCCCGUUCAAUUUCAUAAUGUGCUAUUAUCUUGUAAACGGUCCAGAUCCCCACCCCUAAACCAUAUAUAUUCUUGUAGGGGACAAUAAAACAAAUGAAAUGAAAUUAAAGGGAAGUCCCUAGGGGGUCACCCCACCCCCUCUUGUUUGAAAACUUGUAAAUGGUCAACAUCCCCAACCCUAAACUAUAUAUAUUCUUGUAUGGUACAAUAAAACAAAUCACAUGAAAUUAAGUGGAAGUUCCUGGGGGUCACUCCCAC